AUUCGGAUUCCUGAGACCAAAAUAUGAUAGGAAUAUCAUAGGAAACUCCAUUGAAAAAAUUCUGCAUCAUCAUCUCAAAUUCUGAGAAAACUGUUAGGCUAUAGGCUUACCGUUUUUUUGGGGUAAAAAGUGAAGUAUUUGUCAAAUUAAUUCCAGGACGCUUUUUCUACGUGAAAUUACGUAACGAACACGAAGUCGUUGAUUAGAUUCGGCUAGCAUCAAAUCCCAUCGAGGCGCACAGAUCAACUAGGACUUGUACCAGAUGCCACAGGAAAGCAUUGAGGCAUUGAAGUCUCUGAGGCAACGGUGGCAACACACCCGCAUAGAAAAUACGAGACUAUCCUCGUUGCAUUUACACCACUGGACUAUAAAAUAUCCCGUAGUUUGGUGAUCUAUACAUCCAAUCACUAUGUGUUCCGAGUGAAUAAUUACGUAGAAAUGAACAAUAAUGUAUACCUCUUGUAUCUUAGAGAAUAAGAAAUGAAUAAUUGAAUAUUAACUGAAAUGAAACUAUCGUCCAUACUCUUGUAACGCAUUGAU
Molecule: unclassified non-coding RNA, 540 nt
Filed under: Athalia rosae (coleseed sawfly)
Lineage: Eukaryota; Metazoa; Arthropoda; Insecta; Hymenoptera; Athaliidae
Description: misc RNA ENSAEAG00005011235.1
Source: RNAcentral